UUACAGGUGGAUGGAGGAUGGAUUGAAGAGAGGAGAGAUUUGCAGCAGGAAGACCAGUGAAAAUGCUAUUAUUAGUGAUGCGGACGAGGAUGACAAGGCUCAAAUAAUAAAGAAAUCAAGAAAAAGUAUGUGAACAGGCACAGGAGCACAUAGGAGAGAAGCAGUCAUAAUCCAGACAUUUGUAAAAAAUGACUAAAGCGUUUGAAGAAUGUUGGAAGCAUUUUAAGAUAAAGGCAAUCAGUCACUUCAUCGCCAGAGAUGCUCCUAGAGAGGAGGAGGAAAACAUUCCAAGCCUGGAGUCAGGAGAUGGAGUGUCUUGUGUGAGGAGCAGCAAAUAGGCAAUG
This is a long non-coding RNA of Gracilinanus agilis (Agile Gracile Mouse Opossum), 344 nucleotides long. RefSeq lists it as uncharacterized. Lineage: Eukaryota; Metazoa; Chordata; Mammalia; Didelphimorphia; Didelphidae. The transcript has 4 exons. The record is from RefSeq and is a predicted model, not a curated record.